GAUGAACGCUGGCGGCGUGCCUUAAGCAUGCAAGUCGAACGGAAAUUAGUCGCAAGAUUGAAAUCAGUGGCGGACGGGUGAGUAUAAGCAAGGAACGUACCCAAAAGUAUCGCAUAGCUCGUCGAAAGACGGGGUAAUACGGUAUGUGGAUGCAAAUCUAAAGGGCGUAACAACCCGCUUUUGGAGCGGCCUUGUUCCUAUCAGCUAGUUGGUGGGAUAAAAGCUUACCAAGCCGACGAUCUGUAGCUGGUCUGAGAGGACGAUCAGCCACACUGGGACUGAGACACGGCCCAGACUCCUACGGGAGGCAGCAGUGGGGAAUUUUGGACAAUGGGCGCAAGCCUGAUCCAGCAAUGCCGCGUGCAGGAUGAAGGCCUUCGGGUUGUAAACUGCUUUUGUACGGAACGAAAAGCCCUGGGUUAAUACCCUGGGGUCAUGACGGUACCGUAAGAAUAAGCACCGGCUAACUACGUGCCAGCCGCCGCCGUAA
Molecule: ribosomal RNA, 490 nt
Filed under: uncultured bacterium
Lineage: Bacteria
Description: partial 16S ribosomal RNA
Rfam family: Bacterial small subunit ribosomal RNA
Source: RNAcentral